AUCCCUAAUUCAUCAUCGUCAAUUGAAUUACAUCCAAUAUAUAUAUAUAUAGAAAGAGAUGACAACAGGAAAUAGAAAUAAAUUGAAAAAUGAUCAAGCCCGAUAAUAGAGGAUUUUUUUAUAUAAGAUCCAAUCAAGAGGAAAAGCAAUCAAAUUGAAAUGUUGAUAAUUUUAAACAUGUUAAUUGGAUCAGUUAAUCGUAUCAUCCGUAAAUUAACCAAUUGAUGCCAAAAUUUCAAAUACAAUCCAAAAAUAUCCAAAGUUGACAUUUAUAAAUAUCGUUUGGUGGAAAUACGUUGAUGGUGAUCAUUGGCAAUGACAUUUCCAUUGCAACAAAAAGCAGCAGAAAAACAGGAAACAGGAAAUCAAAACGAAAAUCAUUGGGUGGUAAACAUGGAGGAAGGAAGUUGGUUAAAAAAAGGCAGAAGAGGAGGAGAAGUUUCGAUUUGAUUGUUUGAAAAAAAAAGUUCGAAAAAAGAGAAGAACAAAAAAUUCAAUAGAAAAUAUAAGAAGGUAAGAAAAGGAAGAAAAAAACGAGAAAUCAAAUUGAAAUUAAUGGUUUGAUGUUUCAAGAAUUAGGAAUCAAAACUGAGACUGAAUCAAGAAUUGGAAUAUAAAUUUUACCGUUAAAAUUGUAAAAAUAUCAUUAACUCAACAUCAAGGAAACAAAAGAAAAAUGUUAGAAAACAAAUCACUGAAUCUAAAUUAUCAAAAAAAAAAUCACCUAACUAAUGAUUAAUUAUGUUACAUUAGAUACUGAUUUAUAUUGAAUUAGGGUGAAAAAAACUCCAAGGAAAAAUCAGUAAACUUGCCUGAUAUUUCAUGAGGAAAAUUAUAUUAUUAUGUCAGGGAAAAAACUUUUCCAACUUAAAUAUAAGAAAAAAAAUCUUAAUCAUCAUGUUGAUAAUAAUAAUCUUAAUCAUCUAA
Panonychus citri (citrus red mite) is the source of this 927-nucleotide long non-coding RNA. RefSeq lists it as uncharacterized. The transcript has 2 exons. Lineage: Eukaryota; Metazoa; Arthropoda; Arachnida; Trombidiformes; Tetranychidae. The record is from RefSeq and is a predicted model, not a curated record.